UGAUCAGGUGGCCCUCAGUGCUGAGAUUGAAAACCUGGGUCAGGCAAUUGUGCACAGCCCAACAAGCAAGUUGGGCCCAGAGGCUGCCAGAGCAGAAGGCUGGGUUUGCAGAGAAGAAUUCUACUUGUACGUGAAUCCAGGAGCCCAGGGUAGCUGUGUCUGUAAUAUCCUAUGUUGAGUUUCUUUCCACAACCUUCCAAUUCCCUGUCCUAGUCCAGGGAGAACUUUUGCUCCCCUGUGAUUCUCCCUACAAGGUUGGGCAACACCUUCCUUAUUCCCAUUCAAAUACACAUCAUUCUGUUAUUCCUGUCCCUGUAGAUACCCAUCUCUCCAAUGAUCUGCUCCCUUGGUCACUCUUCAAUCCUUCACAGGCUCACAAGGAGAGUUCUGCAGCUGGAGACUGUUCUGGAGGGAGUUGUGUCUCAGGUUGAUUCUGUAGGCUCAAAGCUGAAGAUGCUGGAGAGGAAGGGGUGGCUGACUCCCUCCCCAGCAGUGGUGAGUGGCCCUUCAUCUGGGUCCUCUAAGUUCUCCAGAGAUGAACUCUACUAUCUUUCCCCACUCAUAUAGGGGUGGGGAGACUUUUUGUGUAUGUGUGUGUCUGUCUGUGACACUGGGGAUUGAACCCAGGGGUGUUUUACUACAGAACUACAUCCCCAGACUUUUUAAAAAAUUUUAUUUUGACAGGGUCUUGAAUAUUCAGUUUCCCAAACUGGUCUUAAAUUUGUGAUCCUUCUGCUUCAGUUUUCCCAAACACUGAGAUUACAGACAUGGGCCACCACACCCAGCCCCUCAGUGGUGGAAAAAGUAUAACAUUUUUGAAAGACCUAUGUUUUCAGGGUCCUAGGGAAACAUGUUCAUAGUUGUCAGCAUAUCAGUGGAGGUGAUGAUGUAGGAAAGGUUUGCAAGUUGUUGCCCUGGCUUAAGGCCUGCCUUGGCCUCUAAGCAAGGUCUGUGUUUAAGUCUAUUUGGCUUGUGGUAACAAUCAUAAACUGAGGGCUUGCAAACAACAGAAAUAUAUUUCACACAAUUUGGGAGGGCUUGCUUCUUGGUUCAUAGAUUGCUGUGCCCUCACAUAGUAGAAGGAACAAGGGAAACUCUUUUUUUUUUUUCUCAGUAUCAGGGACUGAACACAGGGUUACUUAACCAUAGAGCCAUAUCCCUAGUCCUUAUUUGUUUCUAAAUUUUGAGACAAGGCCUUGUUAAAUUGCUUAGGACCUUGCUAAGUUGCUGAGGCUGGUUUUGAUCUUGCAAAUCUUCUGCCUUAACCUCCCAAGCCACUGGGAUUACAGUUGUGCCCCACUGCACCCAGCUGGGAACUCUCUUUUAUAAGGGCACUAAUCCACUUCAUGAGGGUUCCACACUCAUGACCUAAUCACUUACCAAAGGUCUCACCUCCUAAUACCAUCACAUUAGGGGCUAGCAUUUCAAUAUAUGAUUUUGUGAAACAAAAACAUUCAGUCUCUAGCAGUCUGGAUUAUCUGUAAUCAGAUCCAGAGAAAAGAAAGGUGGGAAACAUACUAUUCCUUAAGAUAACUUAUUUCUUUUUAUUCCAACAGGAGGAUCAAGCAAUUUGGGAACACCUGCAGCUAGCCACAGCUGUGACUCCAGCCCCAUAGGAAGUCCAGGAGAAUGGAGGAAGAGUCCUAAAGCAUCAGUAGCAGGCUCCUCUCUCUGUGUCUCCACAGAGGCUUCUUCUCUACAUGCUCUCCACUUCUAGGGCAGUAGGUCCCACAUGGCUGUUGCUGAGUCCCACCCUUUACCUGACUCUUCAGCCAAUGUUACUGUGUGUAGCUGGGCAUCAUGUUUAGGUUUGUGAUUCAGUGUUUCUGUGUGUAGCCACAUAGCUCUGUGAAAUGACAUUUCCAACUGGGCUUCUUACUGCAUGUGCACUUAGCUCUGCAAUAGUAAUAAAACCAUGUCAAUAACAAACAGGAUAAAGGAAGGGAGGGUAAGGACUCUCCCUAAGCACCUAGACAGACAUGAUUUGUGAAAAAGAUAGAAGCCAAGAGAGUAGGUUGUGUCUAGCUGUACUUGCCAGUAAAUCUUACUCUUAUUUGUGCAUCUAGAUCUCUAUUGCCAGCAUCCAUGGGUUUCUUGUAAUCCCUUAUAAAGUUUCCAUGUAAAAGAGAAGGGGAAGCCUUAGAGGUGAGUAGACUCUGAUGAGGUAAGAUUCCAAAGUUGCAGAGUUGUUAGAGUGUUGCUCUGCCAUAGCAAAGUCAACAAAGGCUUUUCCGGAGAAUUCUGUCUCCUGGAGUUCCACUUAACACGGGGAAUUGAGGGGGCUGUAAUUCAGAAGAUGAAAUGGAGCCUGAAGGGAAUUAGGCAAGAAAAUGACCUCAGGAUUCAGACAUCUUUGGAAUAUGUGUUAGACUCUGAUUCUAUUUUUCCAUAGGAUAAUGUGGGUUUCCCAGGUGACUAUCAAUAAAACUCUUUCAGAAAACCAGGUUUUGUAUUUGGUUCUGG
Molecule: long non-coding RNA, 2463 nt
Filed under: Marmota monax (woodchuck)
Lineage: Eukaryota; Metazoa; Chordata; Mammalia; Rodentia; Sciuridae
Source: RNAcentral